Molecule: ribosomal RNA, 1430 nt
Filed under: uncultured bacterium
Lineage: Bacteria
Description: bacterial SSU rRNA
Rfam family: Bacterial small subunit ribosomal RNA (bases 700-1430)
Source: RNAcentral
UGGCUCAGGACGAACGCUGGCGGUAUGCUUAACACAUGCAAGUCGAACGAGAAGGAAGAGCUUGCUCUUCCUGAAAGUGGCGAACGGGUGAGUAACGCGUGGGUAACCUACCCUUUGGAAAGGAAUAGCCUCGGGAAACUGGGAGUAAUGCCUUAUAAGAUACGUUUGUCGCAUGGCAUUUGUAUUAAACGCUCCGGCGCCAUAGGAUGGACCCGCGUCCCAUUAGCUAGUUGGUGAGAUAACAGCUCACCAAGGCCACGAUGGGUAACCGGUCUGAGAGGGCGAACGGUCACACUGGAACUGAGACACGGUCCAGACUCCUACGGGAGGCAGCAGUGGGGAAUAUUGCGCAAUGGGGGCAACCCUGACGCAGCAAUACCGCGUGAGUGAAGAAGGUUUUCGGAUCGUAAAGCUCUGUUAUUGGGGAAGAAAAAAAGACGGUACCCAAGAAGAAAGUUCCGGCUAACUACGUGCCAGCAGCCGCGGUAAUACGUAGGGAACAAGCGUUGUCCGGAUUUACUGGGCGUAAAGGGCACGCAGGCGGUUUUUUAAGUCAGAUGUGAAAGGCCACAGCUCAACUGUGGACAUGCAUUUGAAACUGAAAGACUUGAGUAUUGGAGAGGCAAGUGGAAUUCCUAGUGUAGCGGUGAAAUGCGUAGAUGUUAGGAGGAACACCGGUGGCGAAGGCGGCUUGCUGGACAAAUACUGACGCUGAUGGCUCAGGACGAACGCUGGCGGUAUGCUUAACACAUGCAAGUCGAACGAGAAGGAAGAGCUUGCUCUUCCUGAAAGUGGCGAACGGGUGAGUAACGCGUGGGUAACCUACCCUUUGGAAAGGAAUAGCCUCGGGAAACUGGGAGUAAUGCCUUAUAAGAUACGUUUGUCGCAUGGCAUUUGUAUUAAACGCUCCGGCGCCAUAGGAUGGACCCGCGUCCCAUUAGCUAGUUGGUGAGAUAACAGCUCACCAAGGCCACGAUGGGUAACCGGUCUGAGAGGGCGAACGGUCACACUGGAACUGAGACACGGUCCAGACUCCUACGGGAGGCAGCAGUGGGGAAUAUUGCGCAAUGGGGGCAACCCUGACGCAGCAAUACCGCGUGAGUGAAGAAGGUUUUCGGAUCGUAAAGCUCUGUUAUUGGGGAAGAAAAAAAGACGGUACCCAAGAAGAAAGUUCCGGCUAACUACGUGCCAGCAGCCGCGGUAAUACGUAGGGAACAAGCGUUGUCCGGAUUUACUGGGCGUAAAGGGCACGCAGGCGGUUUUUUAAGUCAGAUGUGAAAGGCCACAGCUCAACUGUGGACAUGCAUUUGAAACUGAAAGACUUGAGUAUUGGAGAGGCAAGUGGAAUUCCUAGUGUAGCGGUGAAAUGCGUAGAUGUUAGGAGGAACACCGGUGGCGAAGGCGGCUUGCUGGACAAAUACUGACGCUGA